GACGAACGCUGGCGGCGUGCUUAACACAUGCAAGUCGAACGGAAAGGCCCUGCUUUGGUGGGGUGCUCGAGUGGCGAACGGGUGAGUAACACGUGAGUAACCUGCCCUUGACUUUGGGAUAACUUCAGGAAACUGGGGCUAAUACCGGAUAGGAGCUCCGGCUGCAUGGUGGGGGUGGGAAAGUUUCGGCGGUUGGGGAUGGACUCGCGGCUUAUCAGCUUGUUGGUGGGGUAGUGGCUUACCAAGGCUUUGACGGGUAGCCGGCCUGAGAGGGUGACCGGCCACAUUGGGACUGAGAUACGGCCCAGACUCCUACGGGAGGCAGCAGUGGGGAAUAUUGCACAAUGGGCGGAAGCCUGAUGCAGCAACGCCGCGUGCGGGAUGACGGCCUUCGGGUUGUAAACCGCUUUCGCCUGUGACGAAGCGUGAGUGACGGUAAUGGGUAAAGAAGCACCGGCUAACUACGUG
This 468-nucleotide ribosomal RNA is filed under the name uncultured bacterium. Its description in RNAcentral is "partial 16S ribosomal RNA". It matches the Rfam family "Bacterial small subunit ribosomal RNA", at positions 28 to 507 of the family's 1533-position model. The record is from RNAcentral.